GUCCUCUCAGGGUCGCACCUGGAGAGUUUCCAGUACUUUACCAGUCCUUGUUAUGGGAGGGAGAGUCAAGCAGAGGCCUACCCAUUCCAUUCCUGGCUUGGCCAGUGGCUAGCGAGUGGAAAGCAAUCUGCUACAAGU
This is a small nucleolar RNA of Tachyglossus aculeatus (Australian echidna), 138 nucleotides long. NCBI's taxonomy places the organism in Eukaryota, Metazoa, Chordata, Mammalia, Monotremata, Tachyglossidae. The record is from RefSeq and is a predicted model, not a curated record.